Molecule: unclassified non-coding RNA, 72 nt
Filed under: Pseudomonas asplenii
Lineage: Bacteria; Pseudomonadati; Pseudomonadota; Gammaproteobacteria; Pseudomonadales; Pseudomonadaceae
Source: RNAcentral
GUAGGAGCCGGGCUUGCCCGCGAAGCCUUUAGCGGUUUCAAGGACGCCUUCGCGGGCAAGCCCGGCUCCUAC